Molecule: long non-coding RNA, 285 nt
Organism: Nylanderia fulva
Lineage: Eukaryota; Metazoa; Arthropoda; Insecta; Hymenoptera; Formicidae
Source: RefSeq, a predicted model, not a curated record
UCUUUAUUGCUACACUGAGUUCAUACUGCACUGCACUGAACGGAACUAGUGCAAGCAGGACAUGUUAUUUGUGAGCAAGUAUAAAGAACGCGUCAGUGUAAUAAUCAACAUGGCGAUGAUCUUAAAUGAUUUAUUUGAUUCUUCUGAUGAUGAAGAAAAUAAUAUGUUGUUUCCAUUUCAACCUAUUAUGCGUAACGAUGACGAUGAUUUUUAUGAGUUACACAUGUUACAUCCAAUUUACAAACAAUAAAUAAACCUAGCUGUUUAGCUACCUAACUACUUAAA